ACCUAAGAUGUGGUUUCCAGCGUGUAAUCCUAAUCAAUCUCCCAAUAUGUCAGCCAACUGUUAGCAUUAAGAUGUGCUUUAUGAUGAAAGAUAAAUUAACACUCAGACUCAUAAAAUAAGUAGUUGAUGGCAGUUUUCACGUGUUGAUCGAAGCAAGGUCAAGACUGGCGAAGAUGUUGACGUAGUAGCCAAUUAUAUCUCGGCGUGUAGAUUGGAAGAAAUGGGCUAUGGCCAGACUCCGGA
RNAcentral lists this unclassified non-coding RNA (243 nucleotides) under Hevea brasiliensis (rubber tree). The record is from RNAcentral. Lineage: Eukaryota; Viridiplantae; Streptophyta; Magnoliopsida; Malpighiales; Euphorbiaceae.